Molecule: RNA transcript, 6119 nt
Organism: Coturnix japonica (Japanese quail)
Lineage: Eukaryota; Metazoa; Chordata; Aves; Galliformes; Phasianidae
Gene: ATP2A2
Gene name: ATPase sarcoplasmic/endoplasmic reticulum Ca2+ transporting 2
Source: RefSeq, a predicted model, not a curated record
CGAGCGGGAGCGGGCGGCUGUGCUGGGCGGGUUGUGUGGAGCCGUGACGAGCGGUGCGGGUCGAGGGCGGGAGGGGCGGCUCGCGAGCCAUCCCCGGCAGCGCCUUUUCCUUUUUUAAUCGAGAGGCGGACGGGCCGAGCCGUGCCGUUAUCACCCUCCGCGGGGCGACCCCUGAGGAAGCAGCGGCCCGGGCUGCUCGGCUCCCCGCUCUGCUCAGCCCGAGCCCGGGGUGCGUGAGUUCCCGGUUCGGAGGCGGCCCGGCUUCCUCACAGGCCGUGUGGGGUGGGAGGGGGGCGGGGGCUUUUUUUUUUCUUCCGUCGGUUUUUCCUUUUUUUUUUUUUUUUUUUUCCUAUUUUUUUUUCCCCCUCCUGAAGGAGUGAAGCGGGCUCUGUGCUUUGGGGGGGGUCUAUGGUGAUAGCACGGUGGCGUUGGGGGACAGAGCGAGGGGCUGAGGAGGGGGCACCCCGCCGCUGAAGAGGAGGAGGAGGAAGAAGAAGCAGCGAGGCUCCAUUUGCCGCUCCCUGCCCCGACCAUGGAGAACGCGCACACAAAGACUGUGGAGGAAGUUUUGGCGUAUUUCGGGGUCAACGAAAGCACCGGGCUCAGCCUGGAGCAAGUGAAGAAGCUGAAGGAGAAAUGGGGCUCCAACGAGUUACCAGCUGAGGAAGGAAAAACCUUGCUCGAGCUUGUGAUUGAACAGUUUGAAGACUUACUAGUUAGAAUUCUGUUGCUGGCAGCUUGCAUAUCUUUUGUGCUGGCCUGGUUUGAAGAAGGUGAAGAAACAAUCACAGCAUUUGUAGAGCCUUUUGUAAUCUUACUUAUAUUAGUAGCCAAUGCAAUUGUGGGAGUGUGGCAGGAAAGAAAUGCUGAAAAUGCUAUUGAAGCUCUUAAAGAAUAUGAACCUGAAAUGGGUAAAGUGUAUCGACAAGAUCGGAAGAGCGUUCAGAGAAUCAAAGCAAGAGACAUUGUCCCAGGUGAUAUCGUGGAAGUGGCAGUUGGAGACAAGGUUCCUGCUGAUAUAAGAAUCACUUCUAUCAAGUCUACAACUCUAAGAGUAGACCAGUCCAUUCUCACAGGUGAAUCUGUGUCUGUAAUUAAGCACACUGAUCCUGUACCCGAUCCUCGUGCUGUAAACCAAGACAAGAAGAACAUGCUUUUCUCUGGUACUAAUAUUGCUGCUGGUAAAGCUAUGGGAGUGGUCAUCGCAACAGGAGUCAACACCGAAAUUGGCAAAAUUCGUGAUGAGAUGGUGGCUACUGAACAAGAGAGAACCCCACUCCAACAAAAGCUGGACGAGUUUGGAGAGCAGCUGUCUAAAGUCAUCUCACUUAUCUGCAUCGCGGUUUGGAUAAUAAACAUCGGUCACUUCAAUGAUCCGGUUCAUGGUGGCUCCUGGAUUCGAGGUGCUAUCUAUUACUUUAAGAUUGCUGUUGCUCUUGCUGUUGCUGCUAUUCCUGAGGGCCUGCCUGCUGUUAUUACCACCUGCUUGGCUCUUGGAACCCGUAGAAUGGCCAAGAAGAAUGCAAUUGUUAGAAGUCUUCCCUCCGUGGAAACCUUGGGUUGCACCUCAGUUAUUUGUUCUGACAAGACUGGUACUUUGACCACCAAUCAGAUGUCAGUCUGCAGGAUGUUCAUCCUGGACAGAGUAGAAGGAGAUAGCUGUUCUCUGAAUGAAUUUACUGUAACUGGUUCGACAUACGCUCCCAUGGGAGAAGUGCAUAAAGAUGACAAACUUAUUAAGUGUAGUCAGUACGAUGGCCUUGUGGAACUGGCAACGAUCUGUGCGCUCUGCAAUGAUUCCUCUUUGGAUUACAAUGAAGCAAAGGGAGUAUAUGAAAAAGUUGGUGAAGCUACAGAAACAGCACUUACCUGUCUGGUUGAAAAGAUGAAUGUAUUUGACACAGACUUGAAAGGACUUUCACGAAUUGAACGUGCAAAUGCUUGCAACUCGGUGAUAAAACAACUCAUGAAGAAGGAAUUCACUCUGGAGUUCUCAAGGGACAGAAAAUCAAUGUCUGUCUAUUGCACACUGAACAAACCAAGCCGCACGUCCAUGAGCAAGAUGUUUGUUAAGGGUGCUCCUGAAGGUGUAAUUGAUAGGUGUACACAUGUCCGUGUUGGAAAUGCUAAAAUACCAUUAACCUCAGGAAUUAAGCAGAAAAUCAUGUCUGUUAUUCGAGAGUGGGGAACUGGUAGAGACACACUACGUUGCUUGGCGCUGGCAACCCAUGACAAUCCUCCUAGGAAAGAAGAAAUGAAUCUCGAGGACUCCUCAAACUUCAUUAACUAUGAGACCAAUCUGACCUUUGUGGGCUGCGUGGGAAUGCUGGAUCCCCCAAGAAUUGAAGUAGCUUCCUCUAUAAAGCUGUGUAAACAAGCUGGCAUUAGAGUGAUUAUGAUUACUGGUGAUAAUAAAGGCACAGCAGUGGCCAUUUGCCGACGCAUUGGUAUCUUUGUGGAAGACGAAGAUGUUUCUACCAAAGCUUUCACUGGCCGUGAAUUCGAUGAGCUCUCACUCGCUGCCCAGAGAGAUGCCUGCCACCAUGCCCGCUGCUUUGCCCGCGUGGAGCCUUCUCACAAGUCUAAAAUCGUUGAAUUCCUUCAGUCUUUUGAUGAGAUUACGGCUAUGACUGGUGAUGGUGUCAAUGAUGCCCCUGCAUUGAAGAAAGCAGAAAUUGGAAUUGCUAUGGGCUCUGGUACUGCAGUGGCUAAAACUGCUUCUGAAAUGGUUUUAGCAGAUGAUAAUUUUUCAACCAUUGUAGCUGCUGUGGAAGAAGGACGUGCGAUUUACAACAACAUGAAGCAGUUCAUCCGUUACUUGAUUUCUUCCAAUGUUGGAGAAGUUGUUUGCAUCUUCUUGACUGCUGCCCUGGGUUUUCCUGAAGCUCUGAUUCCUGUCCAGCUGUUAUGGGUGAACCUUGUGACAGAUGGUCUCCCUGCUACUGCUCUGGGCUUUAAUCCUCCUGACCUUGAUAUCAUGAACAAACCACCCCGCAACCCCAAGGAGCCACUGAUCAGCGGGUGGCUCUUCUUCCGUUACCUGGCGAUUGGAUGUUACGUUGGUGCUGCCACUGUGGGUGCUGCUGCUUGGUGGUUUAUUGCUGCUGAUGGUGGUCCGAGAGUAACCUUUUACCAGCUGAGCCAUUUUCUGCAGUGCAAAGAGGACAACCCAGACUUCUCUGGUGUCGACUGUGUGGUUUUUGAGUCUCCGUAUCCAAUGACAAUGGCUCUUUCUGUACUUGUCACCAUAGAGAUGUGCAAUGCCCUCAACAGUCUGUCAGAAAACCAGUCCCUAAUGAGGAUGCCCCCAUGGGAGAAUAUCUGGCUGGUGGGAGCAAUUUGCUUGUCCAUGUCACUCCACUUCCUUAUCCUCUAUGUGGAACCACUGCCGAUUAUCUUCCAGAUCACACCUUUAAACGUGACGCAAUGGCUGAUGGUGUUGAAAAUCUCACUACCUGUCAUUCUGCUGGAUGAAACACUUAAAUACGUGGCCCGUAACUACCUGGAACCUGGUAAAGAUAGUGUGCGGCCUGCCACCAAACCGUGUUCUUUGUCAGCAUGCACCGAAGGAGUUUCCUGGCCCUUUGUGUUCAUUACCCUGCCCUUGGUUAUCUGGCUUUACAGCACAGACACUAACUUUAGCGAUAUGUUCUUGUCUUGACUGACAUGGUGACAGUUUUACAUUCAGAGGAAAAGUUUAACUUAAUCAAUUUUUUUUUUUUAUUGUUUAGAGCAACUUGUCUAUUUCUGCUGAAUUUUCACAUGAACAUAUUUGCUGGUGAUGGAGGUUUCAUAUUCUAGGUUUUGGUUUUGGUUUGUUUUUUUUUUUGCUUUUUCUUCAGUGGGGGCAAUAUAUUCCUCUUUUAUACACAGUUAAAGUGUCCAUUGACAUGUACAGAGAACUAACACUAUUUUAUGCAAAUAUUUUUUUGUAGAUGAAAAGCAUGUACAGUGUUCUGUUCAAUAGUUUAUUCAUCAUGUAAAAAAAAAAGCCAACAAAACAGUUUUUGAGCCAGCGGACACUAUCGAAUGAAAUUGGCAGCAGAUUUUAGGGAAUGAAUGUGUGUUGUCUAAAACUAAAAAGAAAACAAAAGCAUGUAACUGUUUGUCUUCUGCAUGGUCAUCCAAACUUAAUUUGUCAUACGGUCAGGUUUUAUUUUAUCCAUAAGCCAAACUUCCUGCACUGGGUACAGAGCGCUGCUGCCUUGGGCAGCUUUUCUUCUCGGUCUCCCCUCUUCCUGCUCCCUUGCUCUGGGUUCUCGACUGUCCUUGUUUACACCACUUUCUGUAUGAGUUCUGCCUAAUCCUGCUCGUGCAGAAAAUGCCAUUCCAGGUGCAGCCUGCUGGGGUUCUUCCAUCCUCAACACACACAGGUUUUUUGUUUUGUUUUUUUUUAAAGAGAUUAUUUAUUUGUCUAUUGUAUUUUUAUUGUAACAGACCUUGUUUUGCCAGCGUUGCCCAUGAUGCAGGGUUAGGGAGGUCGACUCAAACCUAAACCAAGCCUUUUUAACCGACCCAAUCUGUUUUAUUUCCAAAAGAGGGUUGCCAUUGAUUUUUUUUGUUUGUUUUUUUAAUACCUUACGUGUCAGAUUGUUUCUCCCCCGCCAUUUUUAAGAUCAAAACUUGUAAUAAGACCUGGAAUAAUAAGUUGCACUGCGUAGCUAGAAGUGGGAUUGACCGCACUUAGGGCACUAAUGAUACGGUGUAUACACGGAGUUGCUCUGCUGGCCUGUUGUUAGCCUGAGUUGAAGUGACAAGCUCGUGUGUGUUGUUUGUAAAAUGUGUAAAUAGCACAUGACCAAAUUGAACAUAUUGUAUAGAACUAUUUUUAUUUUGAUGUGGCACUAACCACCUUCAUUAUUACGGUAAAUGUUAAAGCAUGUUUUCAAAUUCAGUCCUGUAUCAACAACGUGUAAGUCAUUAACAGUCCUAACUGUGGUGUUUUUCUCCAAUGCCUUCCAACUUUCAUCGACUAAACAAUACUGGAGUAAUCACUUCCUAAACAAUUUUGCAGAAAUGUGAGGUUGUUGGUUUUUUGUUUUUUUUUUCCUCCCUUUGUUGCGUGCAUGUGUUUUUAGCAACACAUCUCCCCAAAGUGCUGCAUGUAUCAUGUGUAAAGAUUCUUUGCUUCCCCUCCAAACAAAGCUCAUGGUGUUCUCUGUGGAAGAAACGUGUGCUGCCGGUAGGACUUGAGAUGUACAGAGGUUCAAUAGAGCUGACCCAGUUGGGGACUCUCAGAGAAGUUUUGGGUUCUGUGCUGCAUGGAGAAGAACUCGUUGAUCCCCGGAUAAGAAGCGCUGAGCUGUCAGCCUGUUUUCCAUAUUUCCUGUAUGUAAAAUGUCAGUUUAUAAAGUGUACAAUAUUGAAUUAAUGCAUGCCUUGGGUUGUAGACAAAUCUGUAUCGUAUCAUCCGGACGUGCCGCUCUAACAGCUCAUGUACAACGCCAUCCUAGCUAUGAAUCCACAGACAAGACUACGGCUGAAUGUCCAACUGCAAAGCCUCCAGUCCAUCACUUUGGGUUGUGUUUUUUUAUUAUCAUGUGUGCAAAUCGACCUGUUUUGCACUGUAAUAAUGUAACUUAUUGAAGUCUAAGGCAGUGAGACAGAUGUUGGUGCGAUACAAAACAGCAUCAUGCGUCCAUCGAGACGGCAGCAAACGGCUUGGCCAGUUACAACUGCAUGUAAUGACCUCUAGAAGCUGUAAAUAAGAUCGGUUCUCUACUUCCAUGCUGACAGUAAGAAGCAUCACACCUAGUUUCAUUUGUAUCAGGUAAAUAAAUCUAUUCUACAAUACAUCCCUGGCGUGUCAUUUGAUGCACUUUGUUUCCUGCAGGUACCUGAGUGUGUCCUUCAGCCUGUCCUGCCCUUAAUGCCAGGCAGCACACGCUCACACCCAGCACUGCAUUACUGCACUCUUUCCUUCCUUCUAGAACUAUGCAGACGCCGGCUGCUCUUCCAGCACUACGACCUCCUCGCUGCUGUGAUUCCUCCGCGCAGGGGUUUGUGUGUGUGUUUAAGGGACACUGUCAAGUAGUUUGGUCACUCGAGGUUUUGUUUUUUUAAUGCUCCAUUGUUUGUAAAUCCCUCCGGUGAACUUAAAAUAAACAUUUCUUGCCCAA